Ictalurus punctatus (channel catfish) is the source of this 1744-nucleotide long non-coding RNA. The record is from Ensembl. Lineage: Eukaryota; Metazoa; Chordata; Actinopteri; Siluriformes; Ictaluridae.
ACACACACACACACACACACACACACCUUCGAAAAUAUGGGACUUAACUGUAACUGGUCUUUGAAUGAUAGAUACGUUUGUGUGUACUGACUGUUAAAGCGGCAUUAUUGUGGCAUUGAUUACUCAUUGUGCCAAAUAAACAACACACUCAGAACUUAACCGAGAUCUUGUUUACGGGACACACACCUGAGCAUUUUAUAUCAUCAGUGGUACAACCUGGGGUUUUGUUUUUGUUUUGUUUUUUCGCCUUGAGUGCGUCUCUUUGUUUUGCCUGUGUUAAUUUUUUUUCUCUAUUGCAGUCUCUCUCUCUCUCUCUCUCUCUCUCUCUCUCUCUCUCUCUCUCUGUGUGUGUGUGUGUGUGUGUGUGUGUGUGUGUGUGUACAGGAGUAGACCACUGCAGUGUAUUUCAGCACUGGAAGCUCCACAGCCUUUGGAUAUAGUCGUACAUCUUCAAUCCUGUGCCUGAUGCAACUGAUAUCAUUUAUUUCUAUUUCUCCUAUUUAUUCAUUAUUAUCAAUGUACUGGUUCUGUUGAUGUAUUGUUUAUUCAAAUUGUGUAUAUUUAUUUUGGUGGUUUUCUUUUUUUAAUCUAUUUUUUAAAAUGUAAAACAUUGAUUUAAACUGUGUGUGUAUAUAUAAUAUUAUAUAUUUUUUUGCUUGGAGUAUGUGGUAAAUGGUGUGAGUGGUUUGAAUUGCGUGCAGGUUAGAAGGUAGAACUAAUCCCACAUUGGCCAAAUAUUGUCUUCUUGAUGUCCUGUGUGUGUGUGUGUGUGUGUGUGAGAGAGAGAGAGAGAAGCACUGAGUGUGGCGAAAAUAAAGGCUGCACAGGGAACUGACAAUUCGAUCUAGAAUUAUAGUAGUCUGGGCAAUUAUGGGAGUGUAUACUCAAAAUAUCUACCGUGUAGGUCCGGCAGGUUUGACGAGAGAGCUGUUAAAUGUGAUAUGGGAGAGUUUAAUGGUCAGAUAUUAUUUUAGAACAAUCUUCGGUUUUAUGGUCGUGUAAAUGUGCAACCCGAACAUUUCCCUACUAUUAAUCUCAGCACAGACAAGUCCAGAUCCAGUGUGUGUGUAUAAACACUGAACAAUUCAUAAGGUAAGGCUCUUGUGUUGAGGUGCGGGGACAAAACACAACGGAAAUGAAUGUAGAAAGCAACGGAAGCCAGCAAGAAACCAAAUAAAAUCACGUACAGAAGUGGAUAGAGGAGCGACAGGAAAUGGGUCCAAACAAUAAUCCGAGGUCAAAAGAUUAACCUCAUCUUGUUCGUGUGUGUGUGUGUGUGUGUGUGUGUAUGAGAGCUAGUCGACUCUAAACUUUGCAGAUUCUGUGUUUUGUGUAUAAUGAUCCUUGUCUGGACUUCUGGCAUACAAUGUACAUAAUUUAUUGGGAAGGGGGUUGUAUGUAUACGAUGAAGACCACUGUAAAAUAAGAUGAAUUAGGUUCUUCCUCUGGGUGUAUAGUAACUAGAGAUGAAUGACUGUGUGAAAACAAGUACUCAAAGAAUAUUUAAUUAAAUAUAGCUGUGCUAAUUUCUCUCUUCUGUGCUGUAGCAUUUCUUGUUUUUAUUGUUUUUUAAUUUAAUUUUCUUUUAUUUACACACAACUGCUUGGAUCCUGUUGUGCAAUUCUUCAUGUCAGUGUCAGUCAUUCACCGAAAAAGCCCUUAACCCUCAUAUUCUCAUGCAGCCUUCGAUUUCCACCAAUGUCAGUUUCCCGAUCCAUGGAUUUUGAUGUUCUAGCAAUAUUGU